RNAcentral lists this ribosomal RNA (496 nucleotides) under Salmonella enterica. RNAcentral's name for it is "bacterial SSU rRNA". It matches the Rfam family "Bacterial small subunit ribosomal RNA", at positions 1 to 486 of the family's 1533-position model. The record is from RNAcentral. Lineage: Bacteria; Pseudomonadati; Pseudomonadota; Gammaproteobacteria; Enterobacterales; Enterobacteriaceae.
AAAUUGAAGAGUUUGAUCAUGGCUCAGAUUGAACGCUGGCGGCAGGCCUAACACAUGCAAGUCGAACGGUAACAGGAAGCAGCUUGCUGCUUCGCUGACGAGUGGCGGACGGGUGAGUAAUGUCUGGGAAACUGCCUGAUGGAGGGGGAUAACUACUGGAAACGGUGGCUAAUACCGCAUAACGUCGCAAGACCAAAGAGGGGGACCUUCGGGCCUCUUGCCAUCAGAUGUGCCCAGAUGGGAUUAGCUUGUUGGUGAGGUAACGGCUCACCAAGGCGACGAUCCCUAGCUGGUCUGAGAGGAUGACCAGCCACACUGGAACUGAGACACGGUCCAGACUCCUACGGGAGGCAGCAGUGGGGAAUAUUGCACAAUGGGCGCAAGCCUGAUGCAGCCAUGCUGCGUGUAUGAAGAAGGCCUUCGGGUUGUAAAGUACUUUCAGCGGGGAGGAAGGUGUUGUGGUUAAUAACCGCAGCAAUUGACGUUACCCGCAGAA